UACCUGACCACCUUAUACCCUACCUGACCACCUUAUACCCUACCUGACCACCUUAUACCCUACCUGACCACCCUACUUAUUUUGGUUUCAUUUAUUUAUAGCAAAGAAAAGAAGUGACAGACAACAAUACAGAUCAAAUCAAUAGUAAAUGUUGUGAAGGUUGGAAUGUUGGAAGGUUGGAAUGUUGGAAGGUUGGAAUGUUGGAAGGUUGGAAUGUUGAAAGGUUGGAAUGUUGGAAUGUUGAAAGGUUGGAAGGUUGGAAUGUUGGAAGGUUGGAAUGUUGUGCAGGUUGGAAUGUUGGAAGGUUGGAAUGUUGGAAGGUUGGAAGGUUGGAAGGUUGGAAGGUUGGCAGGUUGGAAGGUUGGAAGGUUGGAAUGUUGGAAGGUUUAAAAACAACACCUCCAAAAACAAUAUACAGCACAGAUGUAGACAAAGGUUUGUUUAAACACAAAACCUACUAAUUAUGAAUGUAUAAAUUAAUCAGUAAUCAUUAAACAAAUAAAUACAUAUUUUUGUUUUGUUUAAAUGUGAGAGUUGGGCUAUAUGGAAGGGGUUACUGAGUAGUUUGGUUCAUCAAGCUGACCUCCAGUCUUCACUUGAAGUUAUUGAGGGAUGAUGAUGUUUUGGCAAUGUGAAGAUAAGAAUUCCAGAGUACCUCUGUAUCUGAUAGAGAAUUGAUUAAAUGAGGUGUGACAGUGGGGAGGGUGAACAUUAUAUAGAUUAAUUGUAUAAUGAACCUGGAAGAAUCCAUUGAAGGGUUUAGGUCAACUGUCUUGGAGGUUUGAGUAUAUGUAGAUGAAAGUGCAUAAUUGGUGUACAUUAAGGUUGUAAAUAGACAAGAUAUUGAGUUUCUUAAACAAAGCUGCAGAUGGAGCCAGGUAAUUAGAGGAGGUGUCUAGUCAUGUACAUUUCUUUUGUAUGAUGAGUCAUUUGUGUAGGUAGAAGGCAUAUCUACUGGCCCAGACAAUAUUACAGUGAAUGAGAUCUGGGUAACUGAAGCUCCAGUAUAGAGAUAUGGGUAACUGAAGCUCCAGUAUAGAGAUCUGGGUAACUGAAGCUCCAGUAUAGAGAUCUGGCUAACUGAAGCUCCAGUAUAGAGAUCUGGGUAACUGAAGCUCCAGUAUGGAGUUAGGAAGCCUGAUAAGCCAAACCACUCAUCUAUCUGAUAUCAACACAUUUCAUCACUUUACUGCAGACUGAAUGGGAUCUUUCCAGGGUAACGUGUCAUCUAUUAAAACUCCCUGGAAUCUAGUGGAUGUGACUUGUUUCAUUCACACCAAUUGAGAUUCUGGCUCUUUAACAAUAUUUCUUAUUCUUACUAUUGAAUAAAAUAACGUAGGAUUUUUUUAUAUUUAAAGAUGAAUUGUGUAUUUGGAACCAUUCAGAAAAUGUGGCAAUGCCUGUGUUAGCUUAAUUCAUUAGUGAAUCAAAAUGCCUGCGUUAUCAAAUCUAAUUGGUGUCAUCAGAGAAUGAGAAGUACAGUAGAAGACAAAGCAGUAAGGUUAUUGAUAUAGAUUAGUAUGGUAGAAGACACAGCAACAAGGUUAUUGAUAUAGAUUAGUAUGUUAUGGUAGAAGACACAGCAACAAGGUUAUAGAUUAGUAUGGUAGAAGACUCAGCAGUAAGGUUAUUGUUAUAGAUUAGUAUGGUAGAAGACCCAGCAGUCAGGUUAUUGUUAUAGAUUAGUAUGGUAGAAGACCCAGCAGUCAGGUUAUUGUUAUAGAUUAGUAUGGUAGAAGACUCAGCAGUCAGGUUAUUGAUAUAGAUUAGUAUGGUAGAAGACCCAGCAGCAAGGUUAUUGAUAUAGAUUAGUAUGGUAGAAGACCCAGCAGUAAGGUUAUUGAUAUAGAUUAGUAUGGUAGAAGACCCAGCAGUAAGGUUAUUGAUAUAGAUUAGUAUGGUAGAAGACCCAGCAGCAAGGUUAUUGAUAUAGAUUAGUAUGGUAGAAGACCCAGCAACAAGGUUAUUGAUAUAGAUUAGUAUGGAUUGGUAGAAGACACAGCAACAAGGUUAUAGAUUAGUAUGGUAGAAGACUCAGCAGUAAGGUUAUUGUUAUAGAUUAGUAUGGUAGAAGACCCAGCAGUCAGGUUAUUGUUAUAGAUUAGUAUGGUAGAAGACCCAGCAGUCAGGUUAUUGUUAUAGAUUAGUAUGGUAGAAGACUCAGCAGUAAGGUUAUUGAUAUAGUUUAGUAUGUAAUGGUAGAAGACACAGCAACAAGGUUAUUGAUAUAGAUUAGUAUGGAUUGGUAGAAGACACAGCAACAAGGUUAUUGAUAUAGAUUGGUAGAAGACACAGCAACAAGGUUAUUGAUAUAGAUUAGUAUGGUAGAAGACCCAGCAGCAAGGUUAUUGAUAUAGAUUAGUAUGGUAGAAGACCCAGCAGUAAGGUUAUUGAUAUAGAUUAGUAUGGUAGAAGACCCAGCAGUAAGGUUAUUGAUAUAGAUUAGUAUGGUAGAAGACACAGCAGCAAGGUUAUUGAUAUAGAUUAGUAGAAGACACAGCAGCAAGGUUAUUGAUAUAGAUUAGUAUGGAUUGGUAGAAGACACAGCAACAAGGUUAUUGAUAUAGAUUGGUAGAAGACACAGCAACAAGGUUAUUGAUAUAGAUUAGUAUGGUAGAAGACCCAGCAGCAAGGUUAUUGAUAUAGAUUAGUAUGGUAGAAGACCCAGCAGCAAGGUUAUUGAUAUAGAUUAGUAUGGUAGAAGACCCAGCAGUAAGGUUAUUGAUAUAGAUUAGUAUGGUAGAAGACUCAGCAGUAAGGUUAUUGAUAUAGAUUAGUAUGGUAGAAGACCCAGCAGUAAGGUUAUUGAUAUAGAUUAGUAUGGUAGAAGACCCAGCAGUAAGGUUAUUGAUAUAGAUUAGUAUGGUAGAAGACACAGCAGCAAGGUUAUUGAUAUAGAUUAGUAUGGAUUGGUAGAAGACACAGCAACAAGGUUAUUGAUAUAGAUUAGUAUGGUAGAAGACACAGCAACAAGGUUAUUGUUAUAGAUUAGUAUGGUAGAAGACCCAGCAGUAAGGUUAUUGUUAUAGAUUAGUAUGGUGGAAGACCCAGCAGUAAGGUUAUUGAUAUAGAUUAGUAUGGUAGAAGACCCAGCAGCAAGGUUAUUGAUAUAGAUUAGUAUGGUAGAAGACCCAGCAGUAAGGUUAUUGAUAUAGAUUAGUAUGGUAGAAGACCCAGCAGUAAGGUUAUUGAUAUAGAUUAGUAUGGUAGAAGACCCAGCAGUAAGGUUAUUGAUAUAGAUUAGUAUGGUAGAAGACACAGCAGCAAGGUUAUUGAUAUAGAGUUGAAGUCUGAAGUUUACAUACACUUAGGUUGGAGUCAUUAAAACUCAUUUCUCAACCACUCCACAUAUUUCACUUAUAAUUCACUGUAUCACAAUUCCAGUGGGUCAGAAGUUUACAUACACUAAGUUGACUGUGCCUUUAAACAGCUUGGAAAAUUCCAGAAAAUGAUGUCAUGGCUUCAGAAACUUCUGAUGGGCUAAUUGACAUAAUUUGAGUCAAUUGGAGGUGUACCUGUGGAUAUAUUUCAAGGCCUACCUUCAAACUCAGUGCCUCUUUGCUUGACAUUGGAAAAUCAACAGAAAUCAGACAAGACCUCAGAAAAAUAUUUGAGACCUUCAAAAGCCUGGUUCAUCCUUGGGAGAAAUUUCCAAACGCCUGAAGGUACCACGUUCAUCUGUACAAACAAUAGUACGCAAGUAUAAACACCAUGGGACCACGCUCCAAAACCGCCGUAAAAUAGCCAGAUUACGGUUUGCAACUGCACAUGGGGACAAAGAUGGUUCUUUUUGGAGAAAUGUCCUCUGGUCUGAUGAAACAAAAAUAGAACUGUUUGGCCAUAAUGACCAUCGUUAUGUUUGGAGGAAAAAGGGGGAGGCUUGCAAGCCAAAGAACACCAUCCCAACCGUGAAGCACGGGGGUGGUAGCAUCAUGUUUGCUGCAGGAGGGUCUGGUGCACUUCACAAAAUAGAUGGCAUCAUGACGGAGUAAAAUGAUGUGGACAAAUUGAAGCAACAUCUCAAGACAUCAGUCAGGAAGUUAAUGCUUGGUCGCAAAUGGGUCUUCCAAAUUGACAAUGACCCCAAGCAUACUUCAGAAGUUGUGGCAAAAUGGCUUAAGGACAACAAAGUCAUUGGAGUGGCCAUCACAAAGCCCUGACCUCAACCCUAUAGAAAAGUUUUGGGCAGAACUGAGAAAGCGUGUGUGAGCAAGGAGGCCUACAAACCUCACUCAGUUACACCAGCUCUAUCAGGAGGAAUGGGCCAGAAUUCACCCAACUUAUUGUGGGAAACUUGUGGAAGGCUACCUGAAACGUUUGACCCAAAUUAAACCAUUUAAAGGCAAUGCUACCAAAUACUAAUUGAGUGUAUGUAAACUUCUGACUCACUGGGAAUGUGAUGAAAGAAAUAAAAGCUGAAAUAAAUAUUUCUGUCUUCGAUUAUUCUGACAUUUCACAUUCUUACAAUAAAGUGUUGAUCCUAACUGACCUAA
Long non-coding RNA from Oncorhynchus nerka (sockeye salmon), 4493 nucleotides. RefSeq lists it as uncharacterized. NCBI's taxonomy places the organism in Eukaryota, Metazoa, Chordata, Actinopteri, Salmoniformes, Salmonidae. The transcript has 2 exons. The record is from RefSeq and is a predicted model, not a curated record.